UUUGCCAUGGCUCAGUUGCUAGAGCAUGAGACUCUUAAUCUAAGGGUCAUGGGUUCAAGCCCCAAAUUGGGUAAAA
Molecule: non-coding RNA, 76 nt
Organism: Podarcis lilfordi (Lilford's wall lizard)
Lineage: Eukaryota; Metazoa; Chordata; Lepidosauria; Squamata; Lacertidae
Source: the annotation of a GenBank genome assembly